UACGAGUGCCCCAAGCGUUAUCCGGAAUUAUUGGGCGUAAAGGGUGUGUAGGUGGUUUUAUUAGUCUCUUGUUAAAUUCUUCGGCUUAACCGGGGGUCUGCAAGAGAAACGGUAAGACUAGAGGAUGUGAGAGGUGUGCGGAACUCAUGGUGUAGGGGUGAAAUCCGUUGAUAUCAUGGGGAACACCAAAAGCGAAGGCAGCACACUGGCACAUUCCUGACACUGAGACACGAAAGCGUGGGUAGCGAAUGGG
This 253-nucleotide ribosomal RNA is filed under the name uncultured bacterium. RNAcentral's name for it is "partial 16S ribosomal RNA". It matches the Rfam family "Bacterial small subunit ribosomal RNA", at positions 524 to 776 of the family's 1533-position model. The record is from RNAcentral.